AUUUGAGAGGGGCUGCUCCUAGUACGAGAGGACCGGAGUGGACGAACCUCUGGUGUUCCGGUUGUCACGCCAGUGGCAUUGCCGGGUAGCUAUGUUCGGAAGCGAUAACCGCUGAAAGCAUCUAAGCGGGAAGCGCGCCUCAAGAUGAGAUCUCCCGGGGCACAAGCCCCCUGAAGGAACCAUGUAGACUACGUGGUUGAUAGGUCAGGUGUGUAAGUACAGCAAUGUAUUGAGCUAACUGAUACUAAUGAUCCGUGCGGCUUGACCAU
This 269-nucleotide ribosomal RNA is filed under the name Stenotrophomonas maltophilia. RNAcentral's name for it is "partial 23S ribosomal RNA". It matches the Rfam family "Bacterial large subunit ribosomal RNA", at positions 2660 to 2925 of the family's 2925-position model. Lineage: Bacteria; Pseudomonadati; Pseudomonadota; Gammaproteobacteria; Lysobacterales; Lysobacteraceae. The record is from RNAcentral.